AUGGCUCAGGACGAAUGCUGGCGGCGUGCUUAACACAUGCAAGUCGAGCGAUGAAGCUCCUCGGGAGUGGAUAGCGGCGGACGGGUGAGUAACACGUGGGUAACCUGCCUCAUAGAGGGGAAUAGCCUUUCGAAAGGAAGAUUAAUACCGCAUAAGAUUGUAGUACCGCAUGGUACAGCAAUUAAAGGAGUAAUCCGCUAUGAGAUGGACCCGCGUCGCAUUAGCUAGUUGGUGAGGUAACGGCUCACCAAGGCGACGAUGCGUAGCCGACCUGAGAGGGUGAUCGGCCACAUUGGGACUGAGACACGGCCCAGACUCCUACGGGAGGCAGCAGUGGGGAAUAUUGCACAAUGGGGGAAACCCUGAAUGCAGCAACGCCGCGUGAGUGAUGACGGCCUUCGGGUUGUAAAACCCUGUCUUUGGGGACGAUAAUGACGGUACCCAAGGAGGAAGCCACGGCUAACUACGUGCCAGCCGCAGC
RNAcentral lists this ribosomal RNA (481 nucleotides) under uncultured bacterium. Its description in RNAcentral is "bacterial SSU rRNA". It matches the Rfam family "Bacterial small subunit ribosomal RNA", at positions 19 to 518 of the family's 1533-position model. The record is from RNAcentral.